RNAcentral lists this microRNA precursor (96 nucleotides) under Pteropus alecto (black flying fox). RNAcentral describes it as "mir-544 microRNA precursor family". It matches the Rfam family "mir-544 microRNA precursor family". RNAcentral also lists the same sequence under 1 other name. Lineage: Eukaryota; Metazoa; Chordata; Mammalia; Chiroptera; Pteropodidae. The record is from Rfam by way of RNAcentral.
AUCACGUAGGAAUCUUGUUAAAUUGCAGACUUUGAGGUAAUAGAUGUGGGUGGGCCUGAGAUUCUGCACUUCUAACAAGCUCCCAAGUGAUGCUUC